AGAGGAACUUCCGGCUCACGUAGGAGGCUCUUCCGGCGCCCACACAGGAAGUCCCGCCUCUGGGCAUCGGGCCACGUGUUUUUUUGGCUGUAAAAUGUGGACAUCCCAGAAGAACGCCUUCAGCAGCUUUGACACUGUCUACAGUCUUGAUGUGAUCCCACCUGUAUUCUAACAUCACCUAUUACAAGCUGUAAAAUGAGGACUACGAGUCAAGAACAAGUCCCAGCUUAUCUAAAUUAUACUAAAUAAAUCACAGAAUGUUUUC
Molecule: non-coding RNA, 265 nt
Organism: Microcebus murinus (gray mouse lemur)
Lineage: Eukaryota; Metazoa; Chordata; Mammalia; Primates; Cheirogaleidae
Source: RefSeq, a predicted model, not a curated record